GCCAGUGUUACUUGAGGUGGGCGCCAUGAGCUCGCUGACACCGGAGUCUCUGGAGGGCCCCAGGAGCCUGCGUUGUGAGUAACGCCCCCAGCGAGUCUCAUGCGCAGCGGUCUGGGAGCCAGUAAGUUCCGGGCGCAGGUGGUUUGGCAACUGGUGAGUUUCAGGUGCAGGUGGUUUGGGAGCCGGUGAGUCUCAGGCCCAGGCGGUUUGGGAACCGGUGAGUCUCGGGCCCAGGCGGUUUGGGAACCCCUGAGUCUCAAGUGCAGGCGGUUUGGGAACCGGUGAGUCUCAGGCGCAGGCGGUUUGGGAACUGGUGAGUCUCAGGCUCAGGCAGUUUGGGAACUCUUGGUUCCACGUGAAUCCACUCAUCCGCUCUGUGCCUCUCACCUGUCAAACAAGUUCCUCAUCAGACACAAGCAGCCCAGACGACUUUUCCAUCCUGGGAAGAAGCGGGUGAGCCUCCAGGAUCCUGCCCAAGAUAGGACCCUAGUGCGGAGGCCAGUUGAAGAGGAGCCCUGAGGGAGGGCCUCUGACUUUGAUCCAGGUGCCCGGAACAGACCGAAAUUACCGGACAGUAGCAACCGCAGAGAUGCUCAGAUGCAGGGAUGUCGGCCAGUGAGGCUCGCCCAGGUGGCCACUCAUGAUUUUCCCACUUCACAAUCAUUGCAUCUAAGAGCACUUCAUGGAAACACUGAAGCCAGGGUGAUUACUGUCAGUGUGGUUCCUUGACUUGCCCUCCGCUGUCCACUGCCCUCAGGCCCAUGUGACAACCGCAACUGCCGGCGCCCGGGCACACAGCCGACUUAGCGCCGUCCGGAAGCAGAGCACGUGCUUCGUAAAAAAUGAAAUGACUCUCUGCACUCUGAAAUCUUUGAACAUGUGCAUCUCCUGAGGCUUGGCUGUGGUUUUAACUUCUAUAUGCCUUAAAUUUCCCAACAAACGAAUAAAAUUAUGAAUAUAAAAAUAAAUGGAAAAGCGCUA
RNAcentral lists this long non-coding RNA (981 nucleotides) under Homo sapiens (human). Its description in RNAcentral is "HSALNT0338588". Lineage: Eukaryota; Metazoa; Chordata; Mammalia; Primates; Hominidae. The record is from RNAcentral.